Molecule: non-coding RNA, 696 nt
Organism: Malus domestica (apple)
Lineage: Eukaryota; Viridiplantae; Streptophyta; Magnoliopsida; Rosales; Rosaceae
Source: RefSeq, a predicted model, not a curated record
UCUCUCAACCUCUCACCUCACUCUCUUCCUCUGGACACUAGGACCGUGUCAUCACCAAGGGAGGCUCGUAGCGAGCCCAUGAUCUCCUCCUUGUGAGUUCGAUGGCACGGGAGCAAAAGCUCUAACGAACUCCUCUUUUUCCGUUGGGUUGUACCUUGGAAUGGAGUUGGGUUGAGCACACCCAUUUUUCCAGCGAACCCAUGAGCUUUGAGGGGAUUUCCAGUCACCUCCGAUCGUGUUACGGUUAUUUGAAGGUAAAGUUGCUAGUGGAGAAAUCCUUAAUCCUUUUCCGCUCGACUCUUCUGCUAAGGAAUAUUUGUGAGUGGACCCCUUCUAAAAUUACAUGAUUUUAUAAAUUAAUUGCAUAAAUGAUUAGCAUACCUAAAAAUUUAUGAUUCGAUUUAUGUUAAGCCUGUUUACUGAAUUUAUUGAUUUCGUCUCGUGUUUUUUGUGAGGAAUUAAAUGUUAGUCUAUUUUGAGCUAUAUUUGAAUAUAUCGUAUUUUCUAUAAAAACCAUAAACUGGUAGACUAUCUGAUGGAUGAUGAUAGAAUGCUAGAACAUGUUUUAGAAACCCCUCUUUAUAGUGUAGACGAUGGAUGACUUUAUACUAUGAAGUGGUUAUUUAUGAGAGGCGUAACUAUUUGUGCGUACCUAGAGGAUACUAUGCCGCCUGGGGCGAGGAUCUGGUGUUGGCA